GACGAACGCUGGCGGCGUGCCUAAUACAUGCAAGUAGAACGCUGAAGGAGGAGCUUGCUUCUCUGGAUGAGUUGCGAACGGGUGAGUAACGCGUAGGUAACCUGCCUGGUAGCGGGGGAUAACUAUUGGAAACGAUAGCUAAUACCGCAUAAGAGUAGAUGUUGCAUGACAUUUGCUUAAAAGGUUCAAUUGCAUCACUACCAGAUGGACCUGCGUUGUAUUAGCUAGUUGGUGGGGUAACGGCUCACCAAGGCGACGAUACAUAGCCGACCUGAGAGGGUGAUCGGCCACACUGGGAGGGAGACACGGCCCAGACUCCUACGGGAGGCAGCAGUAGGGAAUCUUCGGCAAGGGACGGAAGUCUGACCGAGCAACGCCGAGUGAGUGAAGAAGGUUGUCGGAUCGUAAAGCUCGGUUGUAAGAGAAGAAAGAGUGUGAGAGUGGAAAGUUCACACUGUGACGGUAUCUUACCAGAAAGGGACGGCUAACUACGUG
This 495-nucleotide ribosomal RNA is filed under the name uncultured bacterium. RNAcentral describes it as "partial 16S ribosomal RNA". It matches the Rfam family "Bacterial small subunit ribosomal RNA", at positions 28 to 507 of the family's 1533-position model. The record is from RNAcentral.